RNAcentral lists this ribosomal RNA (429 nucleotides) under Bacteroidota bacterium. RNAcentral's name for it is "Bacteroidetes bacterium partial 16S ribosomal RNA". It matches the Rfam family "Bacterial small subunit ribosomal RNA", at positions 355 to 776 of the family's 1533-position model. Lineage: Bacteria; Pseudomonadati; Bacteroidota. The record is from RNAcentral.
UAGGGAAUCUUCGGCAAUGGGGGGAACCCUGACCGAGCAACGCCGCGUGAGUGAAGAAGGUUUUCGGAUCGUAAAGCUCUGUUGUUAAGGAAGAACGAGUGUGAGAAUGGAAAGUUCAUGCUGUGACGGUACUUAACCAGAAAGGGACGGCUAACUACGUGCCAGCAGCCGCGGUAAUACGUAGGUCCCGAGCGUUGUCCGGAUUUAUUGGGCGUAAAGCGAGCGCAGGCGGUUAGAUAAGUCUGAAGUUAAAGGCAGUGGCUCAACCAUUGUAGGCUUUGGAAACUGUUUAACUUGAGUGCAGAAGGGGAGAGUGGAAUUCCAUGUGUAGCGGUGAAAUGUGUAGAUAUAUGGAGGAACACCGGUGGCGAAAGCGGCUCUCUGGUCUGUAACUGACGCUGAGGCUCGAAAGCGUGGGGAGCGAACAGG